This 429-nucleotide ribosomal RNA is filed under the name Bacillota bacterium. Its description in RNAcentral is "Firmicutes bacterium partial 16S ribosomal RNA". It matches the Rfam family "Bacterial small subunit ribosomal RNA", at positions 355 to 776 of the family's 1533-position model. The record is from RNAcentral. Lineage: Bacteria; Bacillati; Bacillota.
UAGGGAAUCUUCCGCAAUGGACGAAAGUCUGACGGAGCAACGCCGCGUGAGUGAUGAAGGUUUUCGGAUCGUAAAACUCUGUUGUUAGGGAAGAACAAGUUGGGUAGUAACUGACCCAACCUUGACGGUACCUAACCAGAAAGCCACGGCUAACUACGUGCCAGCAGCCGCGGUAAUACGUAGGUGGCAAGCGUUGUCCGGAAUUAUUGGGCGUAAAGCGCUCGCAGGCGGUCUUUUAAGUCUGAUGUGAAAGCCCACGGCUUAACCGUGGAGGGUCAUUGGAAACUGGAGGACUUGAGUACAGAAGAGGAGAGUGGAAUUCCACGUGUAGCGGUGAAAUGCGUAGAGAUGUGGAGGAACACCAGUGGCGAAGGCGACUCUCUGGUCUGUAACUGACGCUGAGGAGCGAAAGCGUGGGUGGCGAACAGG